Molecule: transfer RNA, 71 nt
Filed under: Aubrieta scyria
Lineage: Eukaryota; Viridiplantae; Streptophyta; Magnoliopsida; Brassicales; Brassicaceae
Description: partial tRNA-Ser
Source: RNAcentral
CUCGAUAGUUAUUUUUUAUGAACUAUACCGGUUUUCAAGACCGGAGCCAUAAACCACUCGGCCAUCUCUCC